UCACAGGGUACCCGUAGGUUUGGCCUGUAGCCGUGGCCCUUACCUUGCUCUUAUGAGUUCGCGGCGGACGGGUGAGUAAUCGUGGGUAACCUGCCCUUAAGACUGGGAUAACUCAAGGAAACCGGGGCUAAUACCGGAUAACAUUUUGAACCGCAUGGUUCGAAAUUGAAAGGCGGCUUCGGCUGUCACUUAUGGAUGGACCCGCGUCGCAUUAGCUAGUUGGUGAGGUAACGGCUCACCAAGGCAACGAUGCGUAGCCGACCUGAGAGGGUGAUCGGCCACACUGGGACUGAGACACGGCCCAGACUCCUACGGGAGGCAGCAGUAGGGAAUCUUCCGCAAUGGACGAAAGUCUGACGGAGCAACGCCGCGUGAGUGAUGAAGGCUUUCGGGUCGUAAAACUCUGUUGUUAGGGAAGAACAAGUGCUAGUUGAAUAAGCUGGCACCUUGACGGUACCUAACCAGAAAGCCACGGCUAACUACGUGCCAGCAGCCGCGGUAAUACGUAGGUGGCAAGCGUUAUCCGGAAUUAUUGGGCGUAAAGCGCGCGCAGGUGGUUUCUUAAGUCUGAUGUGAAAGCCCACGGCUCAACCGUGGAGGGUCAUUGGAA
Molecule: ribosomal RNA, 610 nt
Filed under: Bacillus cereus
Lineage: Bacteria; Bacillati; Bacillota; Bacilli; Caryophanales; Bacillaceae
Description: bacterial SSU rRNA
Rfam family: Bacterial small subunit ribosomal RNA
Source: RNAcentral